Molecule: ribosomal RNA, 253 nt
Filed under: uncultured bacterium
Lineage: Bacteria
Description: partial 16S ribosomal RNA
Rfam family: Bacterial small subunit ribosomal RNA
Source: RNAcentral
UACAGAGGUGGCAAGCGUUGUUCGGAAUUACUGGGCGUAAAGGGCGCGUAGGCGGUUCGUUAAGUCCUGUGUGAAAUCCCCCGGCUCAACUGGGGAACUGCACAGGAAACUAGCGGGCUUGAGUCCGGGAGAGGUGAGUGGAACUCCGAGUGUAGAGGUGAAAUUCGUAGAUAUUCGGAAGAACACCAGUGGCGAAGGCGGCUCACUGGCCCGGUACUGACGCUGAGGUGCGAAAGCGUGGGGAGCAAACAGG